GGGGAUGUGACUUAAUGGUAAAGUGUUGCCUGGCAUUCAUGAGGCCCUGGGUUCAAUCCCCAACAUCCCAC
Molecule: transfer RNA, 71 nt
Filed under: Ictidomys tridecemlineatus (thirteen-lined ground squirrel)
Lineage: Eukaryota; Metazoa; Chordata; Mammalia; Rodentia; Sciuridae
Description: Spermophilus tridecemlineatus (thirteen-lined ground squirrel) tRNA
Rfam family: tRNA
About the family: Transfer RNA (tRNA) molecules are approximately 80 nucleotides in length. Their secondary structure includes four short double-helical elements and three loops (D, anti-codon, and T loops).
Source: Rfam by way of RNAcentral